Molecule: transfer RNA, 74 nt
Filed under: Deltaproteobacteria bacterium RIFOXYA12_FULL_61_11
Lineage: Bacteria; Deltaproteobacteria
Description: tRNA-Val
Rfam family: tRNA
About the family: Transfer RNA (tRNA) molecules are approximately 80 nucleotides in length. Their secondary structure includes four short double-helical elements and three loops (D, anti-codon, and T loops).
Source: RNAcentral
AGGCGCGUAGCUCAGUUGGUUAGAGCGCUACCUUCACACGGUAGAGGCCAUGGGUUCGAGUCCCCUCGCGCCUA